This 253-nucleotide ribosomal RNA is filed under the name uncultured bacterium. Its description in RNAcentral is "partial 16S ribosomal RNA". It matches the Rfam family "Bacterial small subunit ribosomal RNA", at positions 524 to 776 of the family's 1533-position model. The record is from RNAcentral.
UACGUAGGGUGCAAGCGUUAAUCGGAAUUACUGGGCGUAAAGCGCACGUAGGCGGAUUGUUAAGUCAGGGGUGAAAUCCUGGAGCUCAACUCCAGAACUGCCUUUGAUACUGGCGAUCUCGAGUCCGGGAGAGGUGAGUGGAACUGCGAGUGUAGAGGUGAAAUUCGUAGAUAUUCGCAAGAACACCAGUGGCGAAGGCGGCUCACUGGCCCGGUACUGACGCUGAGGUGCGAAAGCGUGGGGAGCAAACAGG